GAACGAAAAGGUAAACCUUGAGCGAUCAGGGGACACAAAGCCACGGGUCUUAACCAGCGCGAAUAAUCGCGGAAAAUAAGACCGCGGAAUCAAGUAGAGAAAAGACAGCCGGGUUGCCGAAU
This 122-nucleotide non-coding RNA is filed under the name Candidatus Omnitrophota bacterium. RNAcentral describes it as "Omnitrophica WOR c-di-GMP sequence". It matches the Rfam family "c-di-GMP-I riboswitch aptamer". Rfam says of the family: GEMM was predicted in a large-scale screen for bacterial structured RNA regulatory elements. Genes associated with GEMM are involved in a diverse array of functions, including chemotaxis regulation, signal transduction, secretion and chitin. Lineage: Bacteria; Pseudomonadati; Candidatus Omnitrophota. The record is from RNAcentral.